Molecule: small RNA, 226 nt
Filed under: Pan troglodytes (chimpanzee)
Lineage: Eukaryota; Metazoa; Chordata; Mammalia; Primates; Hominidae
Description: retained intron
Source: RNAcentral
CCCCAAGGUGUCAAAGGUGAACGUGGCAGUCCUGGUGGACCCGGUGCUGCUGGCUUCCCUGGUGCUCGUGGUCUUCCUGGUCCUCCUGGUAGUAAUGUAAGUAAUUGUUAAAGUCUUUUCUCAUCAUACACUUCAGAAAGAGCAUUCAUGUAUGUAUAGGAUGAGAAACUUACACAUUGCUACUUAUUUCUCUAGUAAGUCUCAAAUAAAAUUAUUUGAAGUAAGU